This 834-nucleotide long non-coding RNA is filed under the name Suricata suricatta (meerkat). RNAcentral describes it as "lncRNA (ENSSSUG00005012705.1)". The record is from RNAcentral. Lineage: Eukaryota; Metazoa; Chordata; Mammalia; Carnivora; Herpestidae.
AGUAGAUGCUCUAAGAAAGAAUCCAGAAUAGCUUCAUCUUCAACUAAGAAGUUUUAUAAAAGUGACUGCCUCCCUUUUCCUGGGCUGAGAAGGAAAGCGCUUAGCCAGAUCAUCUCCAUCCAUUUACUUGAAAUCAGAGGCUCUUCUUUCUUCCUUCCAUACCUACAGCUUUAUGAGCCAGGCACACUCCGAUCAAUUUGGAGCAAUUCAUGUCAGCAGUCUGGAAUUGGACGGUAACUCUCUUGGGCUACUUCCCUGACAUCUGGAAUCCAUGAAGAGUUCCAGACAUUGCUGGAAGCAGAGAUGGAGAAGGUGUUACCCACACUGGUUCUGGUACCUGGGACCCAUUUACCCUGAGGAGAAAUUAUCCAGGUAGCAUGCUGGCUUAGCGCCGAGACCACCAAGCAAAGAUUCUACCACUCGGCUUGAGGAGUGAGCUCUUACACUAACUGUCCUCCGCACCAUACUGAUGAGAUGGGGCACAUCCAGACACUGUCACCAAGUUAAAUAAAUGUGUGUCAACUCAAAACCGAGAUGAGAAAUGGCAGAGUGUUUUAUGGAUUCAGAGUCAAGAAGCUGUUGAGAAUGUUUUGCCUGAGUGCCACCAAGAUGAUGAGAUCAUCCUCCACUGAAGACAAGCAGAACUGCAGACUCCAUCUCAUUCUCCUUGUCUGCAAAUCCCUCCAUAACUCACUACCAUGUGCAGAGACUGACAGCAGGGCAGGACAAAGCAGAUGUCCUGGGACUCCAGGAGGAAAGGAGCCCAGCGCACAACCCCCUCAGGUUGCUCAAGAAGACCAGGAAGUCCAAUGCCCCAGGGGACUGAAGAGAUGA